ACCAACCAGCUGGGACAGGACGGGCACCGCGUGUUCCGGGCACUCAGCCCAGAGCUGGCCCUGGAGGUGACAACGUGGGGACACGGGCACACAGGUGACGCCGCUCGGGGACACCGUGGGGGCUCAGAACUCCGGAUUUGUCCCCGCUCUGUCCUUGGUGACACAGAAGGGACAAGGCACAGGUGGCGUCACCCAGCGUCACUGUGGGCGCUUCGACCACUGGGUUUGUCCCUGAAGGUGACACGGAGGGGACACGGAGGGGACAGAGCACAGGUGGCAUCACUCGGGGACACUGUGAGGGCUUGCAACCUCGGGUUUGUCCCCACUCUGCCCUUGGUGGCAUAGAAGUGACAAGACAGACGUGGCAUCAGCCAAGGUCACUGUGGGGUCCAGGACAGCUGGGUUUGUCCCUGGUGGUGACACAGAGGUGACAGGGCACAGGUGGCAUCACCCCGGGUCACCGUGGGGGAGCAGCACCCCCGGGUGACCCCAAAGUGUCCCCUCUGUCCCCAGCAGUGGCCGCAGGGGUUGGCAGCUCCCUCCUGGCCCUGGUCCUGCUCGUGGGUGCCAUCGUGGGCUGGCAGUGCCACCGCCGGGCCCCCAGGACCCCCGAGGACAGGACCCCCGCGGUGCCCCCCGAGGGGGGCGAGGUGCUCUACACCCAGGUGGUGCCCACGGCGAGGGCGGCGGGGUCCCCAAGCGCCACCGCCGAGGUCCCCCAGGUGACCUACGCGGAGCUGCCGGGACCGCGGUGGCACCCGGGGGACAGCGGUGACUACGAGAACGUGCUGUGACACCGCGGUGGCACCGGGGGGCGGCGCCCGGUCCCCAAAUGCCACCCAGGGACAGCGGUGACAUCCACGAGACAGUGCUGUGACACUGGGGUGGCAUUUGUCCCCAAGUGCCACCCCUCAGGGAGCUGCCAGGUCCCCAAAUGCCACCCAGGGACAGCGGUGACAUCCACGAGACCGUGCUGUGACACUGGGGUGGCACAGGAUCCCCCAGUGCCACCCCUCAGGGAGCUGCCAGGUCCCCAAAUGCCACCCAGGGACAGCGGUGACAUCGAUGAGAUGGUGCUGUGACAAUGGGGGUGGCACUGGGGACAGGCACACGCUUGUGUCCCCUGGUCCUGAGGGUG
Long non-coding RNA from Passer domesticus (house sparrow), 1138 nucleotides. RefSeq lists it as uncharacterized. The transcript has 4 exons. The record is from RefSeq and is a predicted model, not a curated record. NCBI's taxonomy places the organism in Eukaryota, Metazoa, Chordata, Aves, Passeriformes, Passeridae.